This 328-nucleotide ribosomal RNA is filed under the name uncultured Chlorobiota bacterium. RNAcentral describes it as "bacterial SSU rRNA". It matches the Rfam family "Bacterial small subunit ribosomal RNA", at positions 28 to 351 of the family's 1533-position model. The record is from RNAcentral. Lineage: Bacteria; Pseudomonadati; Chlorobiota.
GACGAACGCUGGCGGCGUGCUUAACACAUGCAAGUCUAGGGAGAAAGGGGUAGCAAUAUCCCGAGUAAACCGGCGCAAGGGUGAGUAACGCGUAGGCAAUCUACCGUAAGGAUGGGAACAACCCCGAGAAAUCGAGGCUAAUACCCAAUAUUGUCCAGGUUUAGCAUUGGAUCUGGAUGAAAGGCCGCAAGGCGCCUUAUGAUGAGCCUGCGUCCCAUUAGGUAGUUGGCGGGGUAACGGCCCACCAAGCCGACGAUGGGUAGCUGGUCUGAGAGGACGAUCAGCCACACUGGAACUGAGACACGGUCCAGACUCCUACGGGAGGCUG